Molecule: transfer RNA, 72 nt
Filed under: Alteromonas sp.
Lineage: Bacteria; Pseudomonadati; Pseudomonadota; Gammaproteobacteria; Alteromonadales; Alteromonadaceae
Also listed under: 1 other name
Description: tRNA-Pro
Rfam family: tRNA
About the family: Transfer RNA (tRNA) molecules are approximately 80 nucleotides in length. Their secondary structure includes four short double-helical elements and three loops (D, anti-codon, and T loops).
Source: RNAcentral
GGCAGAGUGGUUAUUGCACCAGAUUUGGGUUCUGGCAAACGAGAGGUAGGUGUUGCCGGUUCGACUCCGGCC